This 93-nucleotide transfer RNA is filed under the name compost metagenome. RNAcentral's name for it is "tRNA-Ala". The record is from RNAcentral.
UGUCGGCCUGGCCGGGCAGCGGCGCAAGCGCCUCGCCGGUGUCGGCGCAGCGUCCCAGCCAGCGGCUGCCGUGUUCGCGCCACGGGCCGGUGG